CCUACGGGUGGCAGCAGUGAGGAAUCUUGGUCAAUGGGCGAGAGCCUGAACCAGCCAAGUCGCGUGCAGGAUGCAGGAUCUAUGGUUUGUAAACUUCUUUUAUAAAGGAAUAAAACGAGUCACGUGUGCCUUUUUGCAUGUACUUUAUGAAUAAGGAUCGGCUAACUCCGUGCCAGCAGCCGCGGUAAUACGGAGGAUCCGAGCGUUAUCCGGAUUUAUUGGGUUUAAAGGGAGCGUAGAUGGGUUGGUAAGUCAGUUGUGAAAGUUUGCGGCUCAACCGUAAAAUUGCAAUUGAUACUGGCAGUCGUGAGUACAGUUGAGGUAGGCGGAAUUCGUGGUGUAGCGGUGAAAUGCUUAGAUAUCACGAAGAACCCCGAUGGCGAAGGCAGCUUACUAAACUGUGACUGACAUUGAUGCUCGAAAGUGUGGGUAUCAAACAGGAUUAGAUACCCGUGUAGUC
Molecule: ribosomal RNA, 460 nt
Filed under: uncultured bacterium
Lineage: Bacteria
Description: partial 16S ribosomal RNA
Rfam family: Bacterial small subunit ribosomal RNA
Source: RNAcentral